This 30-nucleotide transfer RNA is filed under the name Phrynocephalus erythrurus. Its description in RNAcentral is "partial tRNA-Ala". Lineage: Eukaryota; Metazoa; Chordata; Lepidosauria; Squamata; Agamidae. The record is from RNAcentral.
AUGAUGUAGGAGAAAGUCCUAUAGGUCUUU